Long non-coding RNA from Protopterus annectens (West African lungfish), 431 nucleotides. RefSeq lists it as uncharacterized. NCBI's taxonomy places the organism in Eukaryota, Metazoa, Chordata, Ceratodontiformes, Protopteridae. The record is from RefSeq and is a predicted model, not a curated record. The transcript is spliced from 3 exons.
GGAGCCUUCAGGUCUGUUCUUCAAGGGGAAAGUACUAUCGUUGACUGCUUUAGUCAGAUUGUUUCAGGUGUUGAUGGUCUCCAUAAUAGAAAUUUUAUAGCAUUAAUUUGACAUUAAAAGGUGUCAACCUGACGUUAAAGUUGCUUAUCUUUUGCUGAAAAAGUUCCUACAGGUUGUUAUGGGAUCUAUCAGAGGAAUUCUUCAAAGAGAACUAUUCACUCCUCAUGAAGAGAGACUGCUGACAGCAGCCCAUGUUCGGAAGCCAGGGAAGCGAAGGAAAGGCUCUAUUCUCUGUGCAGUUGUGUCUGCAGAACGUCCAGUACAGGUAUCUUUAGUUAAAGUAAAGAAAUCAGACCGUGGGGACCAGUACAAACAAGCUUCCAAGUGGUCUUUGAAGGAACUGAAAGUAGUAGAUGGGAAAGAUACUGCAG